RNAcentral lists this ribosomal RNA (500 nucleotides) under uncultured bacterium. RNAcentral's name for it is "partial 16S ribosomal RNA". It matches the Rfam family "Bacterial small subunit ribosomal RNA", at positions 29 to 523 of the family's 1533-position model. The record is from RNAcentral.
AUUGAACGCUGGCGGCAUGCCUUACACAUGCAAGUCGAACGGCAGCACGGGAGCGAUCCUGGUGGCGAGUGGCGAACGGGUGAGUAAAGUAUCGGAACGUGCCCAGUCGUGGGGGAUAACGUAGCGAAAGUUACGCUAAUACCGCAUACGAUCUAUGGAUGAAAGCGGGGGAUCGCAAGGCCUCGCGCGAUUGGAGCGGCCGAUAUCAGAUUAGGUAGUUGGUGGGGUAAAGGCCCACCAAGCCGACGAUCUGUAGCUGGUCUGAGAGGACGACCAGCCAAACUGGAACUGGGACACGGACCAGACUCCUACGGGAGGCAGCAGUGGGGAAUUUUGGACAAUGGGCGAAAGCCUGAUCCAGCCAUGCCGCGUGCAGGAUGAAGGCCUUCGGGUUGUAAACUGCUUUUGUACGGAACGAAAAGGACUGCCCUAAUACGGUGGUCCCAUGACGGUACCGUAAGAAUAAGCACCGGCUAACUACGUGCCAGCAGCCGCCGUAA